UGACGAGGAAAUAUUACGAACACCAUACACUUUCUUUACAUAGUUGAUCAAACUCGUGUUCAUCUGGAUAAUGUGGAAAACUUGGGAAUUUUCAUAGAAUUAGAGGUUUGCUUGAGAGAACACCAAUCAGUGGAAGAAGGAAAGACUAUUGCCAAUUUCUUGAUGAAACAACUCGACGUAAAAGACGAGGACCUAGUUUCACAUUCUUACAUCGAUAUGCUAACUGGAACAAAUUAACCUCCCACUUUCUGGAAAUAUAUCGGAUCAGCAGAAUAUUACGAUUUGUGAAUAAAGAAGGGAGCAUCUUUCAUUUAAAACAUUAUGUUCAAACCUUAAUUUUUCUCCCUGAUGAAACGUUCUAAUACAAUAAAAAUUAUCAGAAAUGUGUUGUGAUCAUUUACAGUUACAUUCACAGGUAUAGUCGUUGCUACAACGCCAUCUAAUUUUUAGUUUUGCCUUAUAACAUUCUGUUAAGAGAUUUGUCAUAUCAGAAUGAUUUGUGUUUUUAUUUUUAAAGAAUAAAACAUAAGAUAAAUAAAAUAAAACUUGAAACUAA
Long non-coding RNA from Limulus polyphemus (Atlantic horseshoe crab), 556 nucleotides. RefSeq lists it as uncharacterized. NCBI's taxonomy places the organism in Eukaryota, Metazoa, Arthropoda, Merostomata, Xiphosura, Limulidae. The record is from RefSeq and is a predicted model, not a curated record. The transcript has 2 exons.